AGUGAUAUGCUUGUCUUAAAGAUUAAGCCAUGCAUGUAUCAGUACAAGCCUCACUAAGGUGAAACCGCGAAUGGCUCAUUAAAUCAGUUAUGAUUUCCUGGCCGAGACAGUGAUACAUGGAUAACUGUGGUAAUUCUAGAGCUAAUACAUGCAACCGAGCCCCAGUCCGGCCUCUCGGGGACGGCGGGGCGCUUUUAUUGGCUGAAAACCGAUGAUCGCCGCUCGCGCGGUGGUCGUUAUUCGAUGAAUCACAAUAACAUUGUGUGGAUCGUACGGUCUUGUACCGACGACGCGCCUUUCAAAUAUCUGCCUUAUCAGCUCUCGACGGUUUGCUAGUGGCUGACCGUGGCUCUGACGGGUAACGGGGAAUCUGGGUUCGGUUCCGGAGAGGGAGCCUGAGAGAUGGCUACCACAUCUAAGGAAGGCAGCAGGCGCGUAACUUACCCACUCCCAGUUCAGGGAGGUAGUGACAAUAAAUACCUUACAGAGGUCUCGUUAACCGAGAUCUCUCAAACGGAAUGAGUACAACGUGAAUCCUUUAACAAGGAUCGAUCUGGAGGGCAAGCCU
This 568-nucleotide ribosomal RNA is filed under the name Pollicipes polymerus. Its description in RNAcentral is "SSU rRNA". It matches the Rfam family "Eukaryotic small subunit ribosomal RNA", at positions 22 to 562 of the family's 1831-position model. The record is from RNAcentral. Lineage: Eukaryota; Metazoa; Arthropoda; Thecostraca; Pollicipedomorpha; Pollicipedidae.